RNAcentral lists this ribosomal RNA (465 nucleotides) under uncultured bacterium. Its description in RNAcentral is "partial 16S ribosomal RNA". It matches the Rfam family "Bacterial small subunit ribosomal RNA", at positions 28 to 507 of the family's 1533-position model. The record is from RNAcentral.
GACGAACGCUGGCGGCGUGCUUAACACAUGCAAGUCGAACGGAAAGGCCCUGCUUGCAGGGUACUCGAGUGGCGAACGGGUGAGUAACACGUGGGUGAUCUGCCCUGCACUUCGGGAUAAGCCUGGGAAACUGGGUCUAAUACCGGAUAGGAGCCAUUUUUAGUGUGAUGGUUGGAAAGUUUUUUCGGUGUAGGAUGAGCUCGCGGCCUAUCAGCUUGUUGGUGGGGUAAUGGCCUACCAAGGCGGCGACGGGUAGCCGGCCUGCGAGGGUGGACGGCCACAUUGGGACUGAGAGACGGCCCAGACUCCUACGGGAGGCAGCAGUGGGGAAGAUUGCACAAUGGGCGCAAGCCUGAUGCAGCGACGCCGCGUGGGGGAUGACGGCCUUCGGGUUGUAAACUCCUUUCGCUAGGGACGAAGCUUUUUGUGACGGUACCUAGAUAAGAAGCACCGGCUAACUACGUG